RNAcentral lists this ribosomal RNA (484 nucleotides) under uncultured bacterium. RNAcentral describes it as "partial 16S ribosomal RNA". It matches the Rfam family "Bacterial small subunit ribosomal RNA", at positions 30 to 507 of the family's 1533-position model. The record is from RNAcentral.
AUUGAACGCUGGCGGCAGGCCUAACACAUGCAAGUCGAGCGGAUGAAGGGAGCUUGCUCCUGGAUUCAGCGGCGGACGGGUGAGUAAUGCCUAGGAAUCUGCCUGGUAGUGGGGGAUAACGUCCGGAAACGGGCGCUAAUACCGCAUACGUCCUGCGGGAGAAAGUGGGGGAGCUUCGGACCUCACGCUAUCAGAUGAGCCUAGGUCGGAUUAGCUAGUUGGUGGGGUAAAGGCCUACCAAGGCGACGAUCCGUAACUGGUCUGAGAGGAUGAUCAGUCACACUGGAACUGAGACACGGUCCAGACUCCUACGGGAGGCAGCAGUGGGGAAUAUUGGACAAUGGGCGAAAGCCUGAUCCAGCCAUGCCGCGUGUGUGAAGAAGGUCUUCGGAUUGUAAAGCACUUUAAGUUGGGAGGAAGGGCAGUAAGUUAAUACCUUGCUGUUUUGACGUUACCAACAGAAUAAGCACCGGCUAACUUCGUG